UUUCCGUAGGUGAACCUGCGGAAGGGUCAUUAUCGAGCUUCCAAAAAAAUCUCAUACCGUGCAUACCAUCCAUUUGCACGCAGGUGAGCCGCGUAGUCCAACCGCCAUGCUGGUAUGGUCGCUUGCUAGCUGUAUGCUUGUGCCCAUUGGGGUGCAGCAGUCUUGGCUGGCAGUUAGUCGACCGGCGGUUGAGACGUGCAAGCGCGAUUUACGAGUGCGCUCAGGAUGAUGCGUUCGGCAGGUCAAAAAGUGUUCGCAUCGCUGGUUUCCUGAGGCACGUUAUACGUACAAACGGUGCCCAUCGUUGGCGUCUACGCUGUGCAGAGCUGAUGCCCGGACCGUCAUUGGCGAUGAAAUGCACAGAGAGCAGCUCCCCAGGCUGGUAAAUUGGGUCGAGCAGACUUAAUGAGCGUUCAGCGAGUGCGCUGCCAACAACCAAAUCUCUCAAUACGCUGAAUUUGUGUUACAAAUGACAUGCAUACACUUUUUGUGGGUGUUUGUGUGGAAAUGAAUAUACUACUCUUAGCGGUGGAUCACUCGGCUCGU
RNAcentral lists this unclassified non-coding RNA (546 nucleotides) under plant metagenome. Its description in RNAcentral is "partial contains small subunit ribosomal RNA, internal transcribed spacer 1, and 5.8S ribosomal RNA". The record is from RNAcentral.